Molecule: long non-coding RNA, 426 nt
Filed under: Mytilus galloprovincialis (Mediterranean mussel)
Lineage: Eukaryota; Metazoa; Mollusca; Bivalvia; Mytilida; Mytilidae
Source: RNAcentral
ACAUGUGGAAAAAAAAAUGUUUUGCAGAAAUACAAUAACAACAAUGCACCAAAUACAAAAAGCUCAAGAAGGAAUGUAUUUCUUAUUUGAAACUCUGUCCAUUGUCAACAACAAAUACUACCCAUCUACACCCCUUUAUAUAUAGAUGGGGUUCAAACCCUGUUCUAUGUUAUAAAUUAUGAAUCUUUUUGAAACCAAGAUUUCCAUGUUUGAAGCCAGAUGGGGUCAUCAACCACAAUUCUAAAAGAGUUAAAAUUUGAUUGUCAAAAUCUUCUUCUUUCUUUAAUAAUAUUGACCACCAUGAUAGAAAGCCAAUUGGGUUAUUAAUAAAAAAAAUCGUAAAGAGAAUAAAAAAUACAUUAUCUAACCAAAGUUUGGUUGCAACAAGCCCUUAACAUGACUUUAUACAUGACCUAUUUGUUAAGU